Molecule: microRNA precursor, 102 nt
Filed under: Anopheles stephensi (Asian malaria mosquito)
Lineage: Eukaryota; Metazoa; Arthropoda; Insecta; Diptera; Culicidae
Description: microRNA mir-598
Source: RNAcentral
UGAUGAUGAUGUGGAUGAUGAGGAUGGUGGUGGUGGUGCUGGUGCUGGAGGUGCGAAAAAUUAGUACCGACACCACCGCUACUGUCCCCAUCGUCGGAUGCA